RNAcentral lists this ribosomal RNA (392 nucleotides) under uncultured Flavisolibacter sp. RNAcentral describes it as "bacterial SSU rRNA". It matches the Rfam family "Bacterial small subunit ribosomal RNA", at positions 514 to 908 of the family's 1533-position model. The record is from RNAcentral. Lineage: Bacteria; Pseudomonadati; Bacteroidota; Chitinophagia; Chitinophagales; Chitinophagaceae.
GCCGCGGUAAUACGGAGGGUGCAAGCGUUAUCCGUAUUCAGUGGGUUUAAAGGGUGCGUAGGAGGGCAGGUAAGUCAAUGGUGAAAUCUCCGAGCUUAACUCGGAAACUGCCGUUGAUACUAUCUGUCUUGAAUAUCGUGGAGGUGAGCGGAAUAUGUCAUGUAGCGGUGAAAUGCUUAGAUAUGACAUAGAACACCAAUUGCGAAGGCAGCUCGCUACACGAAUAUUGACUCUGAGGCACGAAAGCGUGGGGAUCAAACAGGAUUAGAUACCCUGGUAGUCCACGCCCUAAACGAUGGAUACUCGACAUACGCGAUACACUGUGUGUGUCUGACCGAAAGCAUUAAGUAUCCCACCUGGGAAGUACGACCGCAAGGUUGAAACUCAAAGGA